UUGGUAGUUAGGGGGUAUUUUGGUAUUGCAAUAAAAAACAAACCAGAAAAUUAAAAAAGAGGUUAUAAAUGUUAUUUUUUUGAGCACAUUUUUCCCCUUUCUUAUGAAAACAUGAUAUUGCCUCAGGCCCCUCUAAAACAGGUGAGGAAAUAGCAUGCAAGGCAGAAAACUUGGGAAAUGUUGCAACUGGUUAUACAGAGAACAAGUAUUCUUCACAUCGGGUUUUGCACUAUGCAAUGCCAGUUUGAGAUUUCAGCAGAGUCCUCUGGGAAUUUUAAUCCAGUUUUGGAAAUAUAUAAAUAAUGGGUGAAUCAAGGCCAGAGGGAUCCUCGUUGCGCUGCAUUUUUGAUGUCUUCUGACUUGACUGUGAGAGGAAGGAUUUUGUAGAGUCCUCUAGGAGAGCUAGAAAGAGAGUGGGUUGUCUUUCAGAUUUGAUGUUAUAAUUUUCCACUGUAGGAGGUGAAAGGUAAACCUGCUCAGAGGUAGACAUAUGCAAUGGAGGAAAAUUAAAUCUGAAGAUCAACAUUUCCAGAGCGAGGUCCACACUACAGCUGAUAAAUUUUAAUAACCUGUAAGCUGAAAGGGAGCACAAACUCAGAAAAAUGAGGCAGUUCAUUCCCUCAAGAUAAAAAAAAACACAGAACAACUUCACACACACGUAAAACCCCCACAGAGUAGUAAAUCCCUCAGAUUCUGAUUGAAACUAUGUCUUUAAUCUACCAGGAUCUACUCAGAAUUAAGUAUCAAUCAGGGAAAGACUUCACAUACUGCUGUGAAUACUCAUAUCCUUCUGAAGAACUGCGGAGUGAAUGGGCCACAUAAAAUUUUCUACCAAAGACUGUUUCAUUUUCCCAUCCCAGCAUUCUGCUAUAAGUAGAGGUAUUUACCUUAUCUCCAGGAGUAAGGGGAGAAAUUGUGAUGAAGUUGACAAGAGUUGUCAGGAAACUUCCUGCAGUUUUUGGAGAAGUCCCUCAGUUAUGCAUGGUGAACUGUCACAUGUAAGGCAAUGCCUUGGCUGUGAGGAAGACUAA
Molecule: long non-coding RNA, 1031 nt
Filed under: Cyanistes caeruleus (blue tit)
Lineage: Eukaryota; Metazoa; Chordata; Aves; Passeriformes; Paridae
Description: lncRNA (ENSCCEG00000023784.1)
Source: RNAcentral